CGUGAACCGCUUGGAAGGAAACGGGUGGAGCCGAUGUCAGUCCGCAGGAUUCAAUAUUCGGAGUUCGGGGUCGCCAGUUAAGGCUGGUUGUUUGUCUGUUCUCUGAAUGUGCAUUUCUUGCGGAUGCGCAUUGGACAUGACGAUUGUGCUGGAAAAAACGCGACGAGCGCCGACUGAUCUUCGGAUUAGUGCCCUAUCGUUGCGCGGAACUGUGUUGCAGUUGUCAUUUGGUUUGGAACUCCGGCGUUGGCUUAUGCGUGGUAGCACUGGUGUAUGGGUGGCUGAACGACUGGGAUUCUGCUUGCAGGCCCUGGUAAACCUCGCCCAUGCGGCUGGUGUGAUCCAACGUGACGCUGGGUCUGAUGAUUAUGUCGGCGACCCUCCCGACCCGUCUUGAAACACGGACCAAGGAGUCUAACAUGUGCGCGAGUCAUUGAGUGGAGAAACUCAAAGGCGCAAUGAGAGUGAAGGCUUAUGCUGACAUGGGAUCUGCGGUUCGCGAGGACUGCUGAGCACCAUGGUCCCGUCGCGAUUGCAUCGUCAAUGCGGCGGAGAUUGAGCGCACACGUUGGUACCCGAAAGAUGGUGAACUAUGCCUGAGCAGAACGAAGCCAGAGGAAACUCUGGUGGAGGUUCGUAGCGGUUCUGACGUGCAAAUCGAUCGUCAGACUUGGGUAUAGGGGCGAAAGACUAAUCGAACCAUCUAGUAGCUGUUUUCCCUUCCCGAAA
This 729-nucleotide ribosomal RNA is filed under the name Haliplectus major. RNAcentral's name for it is "partial large subunit ribosomal RNA". It matches the Rfam family "Eukaryotic large subunit ribosomal RNA", at positions 398 to 966 of the family's 3401-position model. The record is from RNAcentral. Lineage: Eukaryota; Metazoa; Nematoda; Chromadorea; Plectida; Haliplectidae.